GGGGAAUAUUGCGCAAUGGGGGAAACCCUGACGCAGCAACGCCGCGUGCGGGAUGAAGGCCUUCGGGUUGUAAACCGCUUUCAGCAGGGACGAAGGGUUUCUGACGGUACCUGCAGAAGAAGCACCGGCUAACUACGUGCCUGCAGCCGCGGUGAUACGUAGGGUGCGAGCGUUGUCCGGAAUUAUUGGGCGUAAAGCGUGCGUAGGUGGUGGUUUAAGUCCGUUGUGAAAACUCAGGGCUUAACCCUGAGCCUGCUUUCGAUACGGGCAGACUUGAGGGAUGUAGGGGAGAACGGAAUUCCUGGUGGAGCGGUGGAAUGCGCAGAUAUCAGGAGGAACACCAGUGGCGAAGGCGGUUCUCUGGACAUUUCCUGACGCUGAGAAGCGAAAGCGUGGGGAGCAAACA
Molecule: ribosomal RNA, 406 nt
Filed under: uncultured Propionicimonas sp.
Lineage: Bacteria; Bacillati; Actinomycetota; Actinomycetes; Propionibacteriales; Nocardioidaceae
Description: bacterial SSU rRNA
Rfam family: Bacterial small subunit ribosomal RNA
Source: RNAcentral